This 254-nucleotide ribosomal RNA is filed under the name uncultured bacterium. Its description in RNAcentral is "partial 16S ribosomal RNA". It matches the Rfam family "Bacterial small subunit ribosomal RNA", at positions 524 to 776 of the family's 1533-position model. The record is from RNAcentral. RNAcentral also lists the same sequence under 1 other name.
UACGUAGGGAGCAAGCGUUGUUCGGAUUUACUGGGCGUAAAGGGCGCGUAGGCGGCAAUUCAAGUCACUUGUGAAAUCUCCGGGCUUAACUCGGAACGGUCAAGUGAUACUGCUUUGCUAGAGUGCGGAAGGGGCAAUCGGAAUUCUCGGUGUAGCGGUGAAAUGCGUAGAUAUCGAGAGGAACACCUGAGGUGAAGACGGGUUGCUGGGCCGACACUGACGCUGACAGCGCGAAAGCCAGGGGAGCAAACGGG